CGCGGCCUAUCAGCUUGUUGGUGGGGUAAUGGCCUACCAAGGCGACGACGGGUAGCCGGCCUGAGAGGGUGACCGGCCACACUGGGACUGAGACACGGCCCAGACUCCUACGGGAGGCAGCAGUGGGGAAUAUUGCACAAUGGGCGAAAGCCUGAUGCAGCGACGCCGCGUGAGGGAUGACGGCCUUCGGGUUGUAAACCUCUUUCAGCACGGAAGAAGCGAAAGUGACGGUACGUGCAGAAGAAGCGCCGGCUAACUACGUGCCAGCAGCCGCGGUAAUACGUAGGGCGCAAGCGUUGUCCGGAAUUAUUGGGCGUAAAGAGCUCGUAGGCGGUUUGUCGCGUCUGCUGUGAAAGCCCGGGGCUUAACCCCGUGGUGUGCAGUGGGUACGGGCAGACUAGAGUGCAGUAGGGGAGACUGGAAUUCCUGGUGUAGCGGUGAAAUGCGCAGAUAUCAGGAGGAACACCGAUGGCGAAGGCAGGUCUCUGGGCUGUUACUGACGCUGAGGAGCGAAAGCAUGGGGAGCGAACAGGAUUAGAUACCCUGGUAGUCCAUGCCGUAAACGUUGGGCACUAGGUGUGGGGGACAUUCCACGUUUUCCGCGCCGUAGCUAACGCAUUAAGUGCCCCGCCUGGGGAGUACGG
This 644-nucleotide ribosomal RNA is filed under the name uncultured marine bacterium. RNAcentral describes it as "bacterial SSU rRNA". It matches the Rfam family "Bacterial small subunit ribosomal RNA", at positions 232 to 885 of the family's 1533-position model. The record is from RNAcentral.